This 798-nucleotide long non-coding RNA is filed under the name Vitis vinifera (wine grape). RNAcentral's name for it is "long non-coding RNA (VVIN_LNC000153)". Lineage: Eukaryota; Viridiplantae; Streptophyta; Magnoliopsida; Vitales; Vitaceae. The record is from RNAcentral.
UCCAGCACACAUUAAUAAGAUUUAUCUAAAUAUAUCAAUUGAAUAAGUUGUGUUACCAUUGAGUCUAUGGUUAUGAUGUCGAUUGAAAACAGAAAUAAAAUGGAAUUUUCAAUGAUGUUUGGCCUUUGAAAUGUGUCUACUCCAGAAAACCUAAGAAAUUUCUUAAAAUUUUAUCUGAUAGUGUUUAACAAUAGUGACAUCUCCUCCAUCGACAAUUUGACAGCAGGGCCCAUCUCAAGUGAUGUUAUGUGGUCUUGUUGAAUAUGUAUAUAGAUCUAUCUGAAACAUGAAUAGAUCAUUAAUCACCUUUCAAGGUAGAUCCAUAAUUAAAUGUCAUCUAUUCUCCAAAAUCCCAGUAAAGCUAAUGCAGCGCUAACGCAUUUAUAACUGUCCAUUUUCAUGUGAUCUUAUCUGGUCACAUUGAAUAUGUGGGCAGAUCUUUCUGAAACACGCACUGAUCAUAAUCACCUCUCCAGGUAGAUCCAUGAUUAAGUACCACUUAGUCUCAAAUUCCCAGUAAUGCUAUUGACGGGAUUUAUGCAUUUAAAGUACUAGAACAAAGAGAAAAGUUUUAAAAAGAAUUGCUUAUUAUAGAAUAAAAUUGUGGAAAAAUUUUCAGGUUUUGUUCCAUUCCCUGAUAUUGUCAAACAAGAAAAUUGCAUUAGUUAGAUGCCUAAGUUGAUUUUGUCUAACUUCAAAGUGACUUCAAAACAUAGAAAUCUUAGUGUACUGUCACUUAUAUUCCUUUAUAAGAGAAAAUGCAGGAGAGAAUGAAAGAGAAAAUUAAGAUAUUACUCA